Molecule: ribosomal RNA, 253 nt
Filed under: uncultured bacterium
Lineage: Bacteria
Description: partial 16S ribosomal RNA
Rfam family: Bacterial small subunit ribosomal RNA
Source: RNAcentral
UACGUAGGCAGCAAGCGUUGUUCGGAGUUAUUGGGCGUAAAGGGCUCGUAGGCGGUCUGUCGCGUCGGGAGUGAAAACUCAGGGCUUAACCCUGAGCCUGCUUCCGAUACGGGCAGACUAGAGGUAUGCAGGGGAGAGCGGAAUUCCUGGUGUAGCGGUGGAAUGCGCAGAUAUCAGGAGGAACACCGGUGGCGAAGGCGGUUCUCUGGGCAUUACCUGACGCUGAGGAGCGAAAGUGUGGGGAGCGAACAGG